UAGGGAAUCUUCCGCAAUGGACGCAAGUCUGACGGAGCAACGCCGCGUGAGUGAAGAAGGAUUUCGGUUCGUAAAACUCUGUUGUUAGAGAAGAACAGCGCAUAGAGUAACUGUUAUGCGUGUGACGGUAUCUAACCAGAAAGCCACGGCUAACUACGUGCCAGCAGCAGCGGUAAUACGUAGGUGGCAAGUGUUGUUCGGAUUUAUUGGGCGUAAAGCGAGCGCAGGCGGUCAAUUAAGUCUGAUGUUAAAGCCCCCGGCUCGACCGGGGAGGGUCAUUGGUAACUGGUUGACUUGUGUGAAGAAGAGGAGAGUGGAAUUCCAUGGGUAGCGGUGAAAUGCGUAGAUAUAGGGAGGAACACCAGUGGCGAAGGCGACUCUCUGGUCUGUAACUGACGCUGAGGUUCGAAAGCGUGGGUAGCAAACAGG
This 429-nucleotide ribosomal RNA is filed under the name Bacteroidota bacterium. RNAcentral's name for it is "Bacteroidetes bacterium partial 16S ribosomal RNA". It matches the Rfam family "Bacterial small subunit ribosomal RNA", at positions 355 to 776 of the family's 1533-position model. Lineage: Bacteria; Pseudomonadati; Bacteroidota. The record is from RNAcentral.